AUUGCCCCAGUAACGGCGAGUGAAGCGGCAACAGCUCAAAUUUGAAAUCUGGCCCUAGGCCCGAGUUGUAAUUUGCAGAGGAUGCUUUGGGCGCGGUGCCUUCCGAGUUCCCUGGAACGGGACGCCAUAGAGGGUGAGAGCCCCGUCUGGUCGGACACCAAGCCUAUGUAAAGCUCCUUCGACGAGUCGAGUAGUUUGGGAAUGCUGCUCAAAAUGGGAGGUAUAUGUCUUCUAAAGCUAAAUACCGGCCAGAGACCGAUAGCGCACAAGUAGAGUGAUCGAAAGAUGAAAAGCACUUUGAAAAGAGAGUUAAACAGCACGUGAAAUUGUUGAAAGGGAAGCGUUCAUGACCAGACUUGGCCCGGUUGAUCAUCCAGCGUUCUCGCUGGUGCACUCUGCCGGUCCAGGCCAGCAUCAGUUCGUCGCGGGGGAUAAAGGUUUCGGGAAUGUGGCUCCUCCGGGAGUGUUAUAGCCCGUUGCGUAAUACCCUGCGGUGGACUGAGGUCCGCGCUUCUGCAAGGAUGCUGGCGUAAUGGUCAUCAACGACCCGUCUUGAAACACGGACCAAGGAGUCGUCUUCGUAUGCGAGUGUUCGGGUGUAAAACCCCUACGCGUAAUGAAAGUGAACGGAGGUGGGAGCUUCGGCGCACCAUCGACCGAUCCUGAUGUUCUCGGAUGGAUUUGAGUAAGAGCAUACGGGGCCGGACCCGAAAGAAGGUGAACUAUGCCUGUAUAGGGUGAAGCCAGAGGAAACUCUGGUGGAGGCUCGCAGCGGUUCUGACGUGCAAAUCGAUCGUCAAAUAUGGGCAUGGGCGCGAAAGACUAAU
Molecule: ribosomal RNA, 827 nt
Filed under: Inaequalispora prestonii
Lineage: Eukaryota; Fungi; Ascomycota; Sordariomycetes; Hypocreales; Stachybotryaceae
Description: eukaryotic LSU rRNA
Rfam family: Eukaryotic large subunit ribosomal RNA
Source: RNAcentral